RNAcentral lists this ribosomal RNA (1306 nucleotides) under Salmonella enterica. RNAcentral's name for it is "partial 23S ribosomal RNA". It matches the Rfam family "Bacterial large subunit ribosomal RNA", at positions 711 to 1913 of the family's 2925-position model. The record is from RNAcentral. Lineage: Bacteria; Pseudomonadati; Pseudomonadota; Gammaproteobacteria; Enterobacterales; Enterobacteriaceae.
AGACCCGAAACCCGGUGAUCUAGCCAUGGGCAGGUUGAAGGUUGGGUAACACUAACUGGAGGACCGAACCGACUAAUGUUGAAAAAUUAGCGGAUGACCUGUGGCUGGGGGUGAAAGGCCAAUCAAACCGGGAGAUAGCUGGUUCUCCCCGAAAGCUAUUUAGGUAGCGCCUCGUGAAUUCAUCUCCGGGGGUAGAGCACUGUUUCGGCUAGGGGGCCAUCCCGGCUUACCAACCCGAUGCAAACUGCGAAUACCGGAGAAUGUUAUCACGGGAGACACACGGCGGGUGCUAACGUCCGUCGUGAAGAGGGAAACAACCCAGACCGCCAGCUAAGGUCCCAAAGUCAUGGUUAAGUGGGAAACGAUGUGGGAAGGCCCAGACAGCCAGGAUGUUGGCUUAGAAGCAGCCAUCAUUUAAAGAAAGCGUAAUAGCUCACUGGUCGAGUCGGCCUGCGCGGAAGAUGUAACGGGGCUAAACCAUGCACCGAAGCUGCGGCAGCGAACGUAUCACCCAAGACAACUUUACGGAGUUGACGAUUGACGGAGCGAAGCGACGUCAAAGCGUUCAUUAAAGUCGAGUUGGCUUAGGGAUACGUUCGUUGGGUAGGGGAGCGUUCUGUAAGCCUGUGAAGGUGUGUCGUGAGGCAUGCUGGAGGUAUCAGAAGUGCGAAUGCUGACAUAAGUAACGAUAAAGCGGGUGAAAAGCCCGCUCGCCGGAAGACCAAGGGUUCCUGUCCAACGUUAAUCGGGGCAGGGUGAGUCGACCCCUAAGGCGAGGCCGAAAGGCGUAGUCGAUGGGAAACGGGUUAAUAUUCCCGUACUUGGUGUUACUGCGAAGGGGGGACGGAGAAGGCUAUGUUGGCCGGGCGACGGUUGUCCCGGUUUAAGCGUGUAGGUGUGUGUUCCAGGUAAAUCCGGUUCACUUUAACACUGAGGCGUGAUGACGAGGCACUACGGUGCUGAAGCAACAAAUGCCCUGCUUCCAGGAAAAGCCUCUAAGCAUCAGGUAACAUCAAAUCGUACCCCAAACCGACACAGGUGGUCAGGUAGAGAAUACCAAGGCGCUUGAGAGAACUCGGGUGAAGGAACUAGGCAAAAUGGUGCCGUAACUUCGGGAGAAGGCACGCUGACACGUAGGUGAAGUGAUUUACUCACGGAGCUGAAGUCAGUCGAAGAUACCAGCUGGCUGCAACUGUUUAUUAAAAACACAGCACUGUGCAAACACGAAAGUGGACGUAUACGGUGUGACGCCUGCCCGGUGCCGGAAGGUUAAUUGAUGGGGUCAGCGCAAGCGAAGCUCCUGAUC